Molecule: ribosomal RNA, 400 nt
Filed under: uncultured bacterium
Lineage: Bacteria
Description: bacterial SSU rRNA
Rfam family: Bacterial small subunit ribosomal RNA
Source: RNAcentral
UGGGGAAUAUUGGACAAUGGGCGCAAGCCUGAUCCAGCCAUGCCGCGUGUGUGAAGAAGGCCCUAGGGUUGUAAAGCACUUUCAGCGGGGAGGAAGGGAUGCAUGUUAAUAGUAUGCAUUUUUGACGUUACCCGCAGAAGAAGCACCGGCUAACUCCGUGCCAGCAGCCGCGGUAAUACGGAGGGUGCAAGCGUUAAUCGGAAUUACUGGGCGUAAAGCGCACGUAGGCGGUUAUAUAAGUCAGAUGUGAAAGCCCCGGGCUCAACCUGGGAAUUGCAUUUGAAACUGUGUAACUAGAAUACGGGAGAGGGGGGUAGAAUUCCAAGUGUAGCGGUGAAAUGCGUAGAGAUUUGGAGGAAUACCAGUGGCGAAGGCGGCCCCCUGGCCCGAUAUUGACGCU